AAUAAGUGCAGUUUUGCACUAUUCAUGUUCAACGUUUGACCGUCCGUCUUAUUUGAAAAUUUUUUAUGGUUAUUAUUUUUAUUACUAUUAGAUGAUAAAACAUGAAUAGUACUUUAUGUGUGACUAAAUGUUUUUAAUUUUUUCAUAAAUUUUUCAAAUAAGACGGACGGUUAAACGUUGAACGUGAAUAGUGUAAAACUGCACUUAUU
Oryza sativa Japonica Group (Japanese rice) is the source of this 209-nucleotide microRNA precursor. It matches the Rfam family "MIR812 microRNA precursor family". Lineage: Eukaryota; Viridiplantae; Streptophyta; Magnoliopsida; Poales; Poaceae. The record is from Rfam.